RNAcentral lists this ribosomal RNA (253 nucleotides) under uncultured bacterium. RNAcentral's name for it is "partial 16S ribosomal RNA". It matches the Rfam family "Bacterial small subunit ribosomal RNA", at positions 524 to 776 of the family's 1533-position model. The record is from RNAcentral.
UACGUAGGGUGCGAGCGUUAAUCGGAAUUACUGGGCGUAAAGCGUGCGCAGGCGGCUUUGCAAGACAGAUGUGAAAUCCCCGGGCUCAACCUGGGAACUGCAUUUGUGACUGCAAGGCUAGAGUACGGCAGAGGGGGAUGGAAUUCCGCGUGUAGCAGUGAAAUGCGUAGAUAUGCGGAGGAACACCAAUGGCGAAGGCAAUCCCCUGGGCCUGUACUGACGCUCUUGCACGAAAGCGUGGGGAGCAAACAGG